RNAcentral lists this ribosomal RNA (445 nucleotides) under uncultured bacterium. RNAcentral describes it as "partial 16S ribosomal RNA". It matches the Rfam family "Bacterial small subunit ribosomal RNA", at positions 354 to 796 of the family's 1533-position model. The record is from RNAcentral.
GUGAGGAAUAUUGGUCAAUGGGCGGGAGCCUGAACCAGCCAAGUCGCGUGAAGGAAGAAGGAUCUAUGGUUCGUAAACUUCUUUUGCAGGGGAAUAAAGUACAGGACGUGUCCUGUUUUGUAUGUACCCUGAGAAUAAGGAUCGGCUAACUCCGUGCCAGCAGCCGCGGUAAUACGGAGGAUCCGAGCGUUAUCCGGAUUUAUUGGGUUUAAAGGGUGCGUAGGUGGUUUGAUAAGUCAGCGGUGAAAGUUUGCAGCUUAACUGUAAAAAUGCCGUUGAAACUGUCGGACUUGAGUGUAAAUGAGGUAGGCGGAAUGCGUGGUGUAGCGGUGAAAUGCAUAGAUAUCACGCAGAACUCCGAUUGCGAAGGCAGCUUACUAAGCUACAACUGACACUGAAGCACGAAAGCGUGGGGAUCAAACAGGAUUAGAUACCCCAGUAGUCC